UAUCUCAAGCUCUGUAGCCCAGAAAUUUUCCAACUCUGCUAAUUCAGUAUUGUGACUAACAGCCCAGUUAGAAAGUGGUGGGUUCCAAUCUAAGAUCCCCCUUUAUGAAGCCUUAUGACUUUGAGUAAAGGUCUUAUCCUACAUAAAUUGUCCCCAUAUUUCAGAUGGCUAAGCAGAAAUAAGAAUAGAAACUAUACAUGGGCUGUUGUGAAAAUGGAAGAAUGGAUUGAACAUGGUCGGUGCCCAAAGAAUGAUAGCYGGAAGCUGGAAGGAGCCCUCAACCRGGGGUGGAGAAAAGUUGACAGAUGAGUCCUCAAAGUCCUUACCUCAUGGUGUUACCACCCUGAAGUUUGUUCUACAUUGACUCGUAAAAUUCUCCUGUGGGAUUGAGCCCAGGUACAAAUGCAAGUACUCUUAUUGGUAAAUUGAUUUUAAGUUUUUAAAAUUUUCGUCUUCCUCUACUGUACCAUAUGUGGAGAAGAAAGCAACACAGCCUAAAUUGUCUUUGCCAGGAAGAGGAUCGUGCCUAUCAGAGGAGUAAAGUAUGGACUCUAAUUAUUUAUGUACAAGGAAGAACUGGCUACAAACUUCAAGAAGGCAGAAUUGGGACUACACUGACACUGAAGUGGGCCACUUCCAGGCUGGAGGAGAGAGGGCUCAAUGGAGCAUCUCAGACACAGCAGUAGAAUGGAGGGCAGAAUACUGGAUGAGGAAAUACCAUGAGUCAUUGAAGGACUGAGGGCAUUUGGUGAAGGGUGAUGAAUUUUCUACACAUACAGAAGGCAGUUCUCCAUGGUCUUAGAUACAAACAGAGCAGACUUUGUGAUGCAAAUUUUGGUGCUAUCAGCAUCUUCAGGAAGUACCACCCACAGAGGAGGAAAUUGAGAAAACGGGAAAGAAAGACAGUACAAGUGGGAGAAACAAAUGAAAGCGAAGAUAUGAUCCCUGACUUCAAGCAGCUCACCAUGCAUUUGGAAAAGUAACUUCAGUGAAACAGACACUAGGCUACAGAGCUGAUUGUGAGGAGUGAAGACAGCCUCUUUCCAAAUAAAGGAAAUUGCGAUUAUCUCAGUGGCCAGCCAUAGUGCAAGGACAUUUCUUUAGCCACCAGCCCAUUCCCCAGUCAUGCCAUAGCUAGCAGAACAGAGGACUACGAGAUAUCCUAUCCAGCAAGGUAGUAUUCAAGUCCAUUAAAGGAUAAUAGCCAUCAAUCACAAGUCCACUGGCAUUUUCCUUGAAAGGAAAUGUGUCUUACGCUGAGGUCUCCCAGAGCAGAUGCUGAAACAAGAAUUCAAUGGCAAAUGGUUUUUUUUGGGGGGGAACUGAUCCCAAAAAGCACUGAAAGGGGAAAGGGGAACUGAUAGAAAAAGAAGCGAAUAUAGUAUAAGUUAACCAGCAGGAUGAUUAGGGCUUAUUCCACUGGGGAAUUGUAGAACACAAUGUAGAAACUACUUGGAGUCAUUAUAUCUGAGAGGUGAGGAAUCUUAAGUAUUUAUCUUCCAAAGGAAGGAUCAUGGGUUUGUUCUGAAAUAGACAGUGCAGAAGGGUAAUGGGUGGGAAGGUUUGAAAGGUAAUAUCUGUUACCGAAGGAAAACAGUUUGAAAUUAGAAAAGGAUUUUGGUUAUGUCUCCAGUUUGGACCAAUGAAUGCAUUUUGGUAUUGCUUCCUCUCUCACGAUAAUCUGCUCUCAUUUGGGAAUGGUCUCAGUGACGUUCCCUGGUUUUAGAUGAUUAAUCCAUUGGUAGGCAUCUCUUUCAAACUGGGCCAUUCAAAUUCUCUUCCCAUGAAUUUGAAACUUAAAACAAAAAGACACAAGGAAUUGAAGUCACUGCAAAUGCAUUUUAUAGAAAGUCUUUUGACAUUUGAAUGUUGAGAGUAGAACACUCCCAUUACUACCUCCCCACCUUCCUAAAUACUGUCCCCCCCCAAUUCUUCCCAUUCCACAGUCUUAUAAUUCUCUCUCUCUCUCUCUCUCAGGUCUCUCUUUUCCCCCCACUAGGUAUAUGAAGAGAAUCAAGGUUUCUUUUCUGUUGUUUGCUAUCAAUAUGAUAUGAUUGCAUUUAUGUGUGCUCAAUUUCAAAAACCCUUUUGUAUCUGAAUAUAAUAGUCAUUGCCCAGGUUUUUGUUUAAAUCAAUGGCAUUUGCCAAUUUAAUCUCCAUUCAUC
Molecule: long non-coding RNA, 2165 nt
Organism: Urocitellus parryii (Arctic ground squirrel)
Lineage: Eukaryota; Metazoa; Chordata; Mammalia; Rodentia; Sciuridae
Source: RefSeq, a predicted model, not a curated record